RNAcentral lists this ribosomal RNA (402 nucleotides) under uncultured microorganism. RNAcentral describes it as "bacterial SSU rRNA". It matches the Rfam family "Bacterial small subunit ribosomal RNA", at positions 9 to 407 of the family's 1533-position model. The record is from RNAcentral.
GAGUUUGAUCCUGGCUCAGAUUGAACGCUGGCGGCAUGCCUUACACAUGCAAGUCGAACGGCAGCAUGAUCUAGCUUGCUAGAUUGAUGGCGAGUGGCGAACGGGUGAGUAAUACAUCGGAACGUGCCCUGUAGUGGGGGAUAACUAGUCGAAAGAUUAGCUAAUACCGCAUACGACCUGAGGGUGAAAGUGGGGGACCGCAAGGCCUCAUGCUAUAGGAGCGGCCGAUGUCUGAUUAGCUAGUUGGUGGGGUAAAGGCCCACCAAGGCGACGAUCAGUAGCUGGUCUGAGAGGACGAUCAGCCACACUGGGACUGAGACACGGCCCAGACUCCUACGGGAGGCAGCGGUGGGGAAUUUUGGACAAUGGGCGAAAGCCUGAUCCAGCAAUGCCGCGUGUGUG